GACGAACGCUGGCGGCGCGCCUAACACAUGCAAGUCGAACGGAGCUGAGAGAAGCUUGCUUUUCUUAGCUUAGUGGCGAACGGGUGAGUAACGCGUGAGUAACCUGCCCUGGAGUGGGGGACAACAGUUGGAAACGACUGCUAAUACCGCAUAAGCCCACGAUCCGGCAUCGGAUUGAGGGAAAAGGAUUUAUUCGCUUCAGGAUGGACUCGCGUCCAAUUAGCUAGUUGGUGAGGUAACGGCCCACCAAGGCGACGAUUGGUAGCCGGACUGAGAGGUUGAACGGCCACAUUGGGACUGAGACACGGCCCAGACUCCUACGGGAGGCAGCAGUGGGUGAUAUUGCACAAUGGGGGAAACCCUGAUGCAGCGACGCCGCGUGGAGGAAGAAGGUUUUCGGAUUGUAAACUCCUGUCGUUAGGGACGAUAAUGACGGUACCUAACAAGAAAGCACCGGCUAACUACGUG
This 468-nucleotide ribosomal RNA is filed under the name uncultured bacterium. RNAcentral's name for it is "partial 16S ribosomal RNA". It matches the Rfam family "Bacterial small subunit ribosomal RNA", at positions 28 to 507 of the family's 1533-position model. The record is from RNAcentral.